GCCAUAUCAAAAUAGCCUUGAAAUACUAAGGGGAAGAGCUGAGACUAAGCACAUAGGGUUGCAUGCCUGACAUAGUAUUGAAAGUAUGCCUUCCUGCAUCUAGUAUUCCCUGCUGUGCAAUGUCCUCCUGAAGUGCCAUGUGAAUGCACCUUUGCCCCUUCAGAAUUGGAAGUGCCUUUUCUCUAUUCUGUUCUGUGCUUUUCUCAAAGAUGAACAUUUGAUAUCAUCCUCCACCUGGGGAUCAAAUUUCCUUGUGAACCUAGUGAAUUCCUCAGUCCAAGGAGUUUUCAGAGUGUCCUCUUGGCCUUCACUUUCAUCUGAGACUUUGAAAUUGAUGGAGCUUUCUGCCUUUAAACUGUGGGCUUGCAUUCCUGGUUAACAGACAGAGAACUGGAGCAAUGAACUCUGCUGGGGCAUGAAUACAUUAGAAUGGAGGAAAUCGCUGUUAGGAGAGACUAGAAUAACACAUCUCCUCUGUAAAACAGUGGACCUUGGACCUGACUUCUCACCAUUGAUUUGUCGGGUGACUGCUGAGAUGUCUGACCCUGUUUACUGACUCCAGACCUGAUCCUGACCCUGACCUUUUGGUUUAACUUCUUCACUUGAUCUCAGACCUCCAAGACUUAUGCACUAUGGACUUAACUGAUAAUCUGUCCUCCGGGCUGAUCCCCA
This 672-nucleotide long non-coding RNA is filed under the name Anas platyrhynchos platyrhynchos (common mallard). Its description in RNAcentral is "lncRNA (ENSAPLG00000017161.1)". The record is from RNAcentral. Lineage: Eukaryota; Metazoa; Chordata; Aves; Anseriformes; Anatidae.